Molecule: RNA transcript, 9102 nt
Organism: Carassius auratus (goldfish)
Lineage: Eukaryota; Metazoa; Chordata; Actinopteri; Cypriniformes; Cyprinidae
Exons: 5
Source: RefSeq, a predicted model, not a curated record
UUAACAUUUGGUUAAAAAUCCAAACAGACAUUGUCUCCACAGACCGUCCCAUAUUCUUGUGUGCUAUAUACCUUCCCCCAGCUGAGUCCCCCUAUUACAGUGAAGAAACCUUCUCCAUCCUGCAGGAUGAGAUUAGCCAUUUCCAGACUAAAGGAAAUGUGUUUAUGUGUGGCGAUCUAAAUGCCAGAACUGGAAAUGAACCAGACUUUGUCAACAUGCAGGGAGACAAAUAUAUCACAAACACCAGCCACUCUCUGCCCUCAUACCAGCUAAGAAACCAUUAUGACAAAUCAACAAACAAAAGUGGGAGAAGCCUUCUAGAGCUCUGUCGGUCACUGGGCCUGUAUAUAGUGAACGGUCACAUACGGGGAGACUCUUUUGGUUGUUACACCUUUAAUUCUUUCUUGGGCAACAGUACUGUAGAUUACUUCAUCACAGACAUUGACCCAGUGCAUCUCAGAGCAUUCACAGUCAGUCCUCAAACCCCUCUGUCAGACCACUGUAACAGUACACUCUAUUUAAGACCAACUUAUAGCAAUGAAUCACACAGACAGCCCUCUCAUUUACUGAAGCUGCAACCACCCUACAAGUGGACAAAUAACAGAACAGAAAAUUAUCAGAAUGCAUUAGAAAGUCAAACAAUCAAAUUACUAUUAGACAAUUUUAUAAUGAACACAUAUCCACAAAAUAAAGUACACUGUUAAAAAUUGCUUUAGUUUUUACAGUAAAUAUUUACAAUAGACUACUGUGUUUUUAAUUUUACAGCAUUACUGUAUUUUGCCAUGUGGGAGCAUGCAUAAUUGCUGUGAAUUUUAGAGGUAUUCUAAUAAGAAUGAGAUACUGUUUUUUUUUUUUUUUUUAAGGUAGAUCACUGUUAUUGCAUGUUCCUAUGACUUCUGCAGUAAAUGCUUUUUUAAGAAGAAGAAAAAAACAGUUGCAAAAGUUUGUCAUCUUCAUCGGACAUCUUGGGAGUUGGGACUCUCCAUUGCUUGGUUUUUUAUGUUUAUUUAAAUUUGUAUAAAUUAUAAAAGCAAACACUUUGAUCCAUAUUCCAUUCCAGUUGGUGGCGAUAAUGCACCAACAAACUAGGUUGCCAACCGCCAAUAAACACCAAAAAAGUAGAGGCUGGGACUUUCCACACGCUUGCUUCGUCAUCAUCAUCACCAGCACUCAAUUUUCGCGCUCACCUCGUGCUCUACGGUUACCAGAGAAGGAGGAUCUCUAAUGAGAGCGAGUAGAGGUGUGUUACAUCUUCAAUAUGGAAUCCUUUUACAUCCACGUUGAAAAAUGGAUAAUAUAGAUUAUUUGUCCGGUUUUAUGAUGAAUUUGCUUGAUGAGUCGUCACAGAUGAAAGAUUAGCUGUCUAUAUUUUCUUCAACAUUAAAGUGUGGCCGGGCUGUUAUUUUACUAAAAAAAAAAUUAUAACUGCUCGGUAUAAAAUUCUUUUACAUUGUUGUUGGUAGUAGUAAUUGUAAGCUUUUAAACGUUUUAGGCUUUUAACUUGAUUGUGUGGUUUUAAGGAGUUAAAUAGUGUUUAACUUGACUGCCAAGCCAUUAACGUUAGCUAAUGACACGUUUUUGUUCGAUUUAAGAUGGUGUAAUGGUUUUUUGUUUUUUUUUGUUUUACUGCUUGGUAUAAAAUUAUUUUACAUUGUUUUUGGUAGUAGACAUAUACGCUUUUAAACGUUUUAAGAUUUAAAACUUGAUUGUGUUGGUUUUAUGCAGUUAAAUAGUGUUUAACUUGACUGCCAAGCCAUAACGUUAGUUUGCAGUGCACAUGCUUUAUUGCUGUGCAUUUAUUGUUAAUAAGUUGAAAAUGUUUAUCUGUCACUUUUGUAAUAAUGAGAGCAGUACAAUCCUGAGUUUUGUGCAGCAUGUGAAAUUGCAUAGAAAUGUGCCUAAAUCAGGUUUUAGAUGUGCUGUACCUGAUUGCCCACGUAUUUUCACUAAGUUUUCUUCAUUGAAGUCCCACAUAUACAGAAAUCACAGAAAACAUCACCAGUCUGCUACUAAAGAGCAUCAGGCACAGAUGUGUGAUAAAACAUUUAAAUGCCACGUAGACUUUUGUGAAGUUCAAUGUGGGACCCUAACACAGCUUUUGUCUCAUUUAAAGAGCCAUAUUGAGUCAGGUCUGGAGAUCCGGUGCCCAAUUGGUUGCAACAGGACAUUUAAGGUGAGAUCUACAUUUGCAUCACAUGUAUCACGGACACAUAAAAUGUGCUCUGUAAACCAUCUGAUAGAGCCUGCUAUGCCCAUGGAAACCCCAGUUUCAGAUGUCAUGUCUGAGAGUGAGAGAUCAGAUGUUGCAGAGCAAAAUUCUUCUGAAGUUGUGGAUGAAUCUCUUUUUCUAAGAAAUUUAACCCUCUUCUAUCUGAAACUGCAAGCUAAAUUGCUAUUGCCUGAGUCUACCAUUCAAGGCAUUGUUGAAGAAUUUCAAAACAUCCAUGACAUUGGGCAGUCAUAUUUUCUUAGCAAACUGAGAGAAAAGCUUGCUUUGCUUGAAUUGCCAGAGGAAAGGGUUAAUGAUGUGAUUGAUCAGUUGUCUAGGGAGGAUUUGCUGACAGCUUGUAAUAGUGGAGUUCUAAGUACAGCACAGAGGAGAAAGACUACUUUCAAGCAAGAUUUCCACUAUGUAGAGCCAGUCCCUAUUUUUUUAGGAGUCAGUGAAAGAAAUGGGAAAGAGUGCUUUGCUCAAUAUGUCCCAGUUAAACAGACCAUCAGUGCUCUGUUUCAGUGCCAGUCUGUGAGGGAUCAAUAUGAGCAGAUGCACUCACAAACAGCUGAAAAUGAUCUGUUUCGGGAUGUAAAGGAUGGUAAGAAUUUUUCAGAAAAUUCUCUCUUUCAAACUGAUCCAUCAUCUCUGGGUUUGAUAAUUUACCAGGAUUCAUUUGAGGUGGUAAAUCCUUUAGGCUCAGCUAGAAAAAAACACAAAUUACUGGCAGUUUAUCUUACCUUGUCUGAUAUUUUACCUCACAACAGGUCAAACAUAGACCACAUGCAACUUGUUCUUUUGUGUAAUGAGCAAGAUUUUAAGUACUUUGGACCAGCUCAUGUUUUUAGAUCACUAAUUGAAGAUCUCAAAGAUCUUGAGGAGAAUGGUGUUGUGGUGAAUGAUGGCAAAACUUUGAAAGCUUCUUUGUGUUCCAUCGUAGGUGACAACCUGGGAUCCCACAUGAUUGGUGGUUUUGUCGAGAACUUUAGCCGAAGCCUACAUUUCUGCAGGUAUUGCACCAUUGAGAGAGACUCAUUCCAUGCCACACCUUUAGAACCUGCUAUGAAGCGAACUGUGGAGUCUUACGAGAGAAACAUUCAGGAACUUGCUACCUUAGGUGAUAAUGUAGUUGGAGUCAAAUUUAACUCUCCUUUUAAUCAACUAAAUUCUUUUCAUGUUUGUCAGCCUGGCUUGCCCCCCUGCCUUGGACAUGACCUCUUUGAGGGUGUUGUGGCAUCUGAUCUUAAGUUGUACAUUGAUUACUUGGUAAAUCAAGAAAAAUUCUUUACUUUCACAGAGCUUAAUUGCUAUAUUAAACAGUUUAAGUACACAGGAAAUGAUGCUGCCAAUAAACCAGCUGAGGUUAACUCAGGGAGUGAGAAGCUUUGUGGUCACGCCGUUCAGAACUGGUGUCUUCUAAGACUUUUACCAGUUAUUGUUGGACACCGAAUUAAGGAUCCAGAAUCAGAAGGGUGGCAGCUCGUUCUACUCCUCAGACAAAUUGUAGACCUAAUUUGUGCACCAGCAAUACUGGCAGAUCAGGUUGCUUAUCUGAAAGUGCUCAUUGAUGAGUACAUUCAUUUCAGGUAUGUGACUUUCCCUUCUAAGCCUCUCAAGCCUAAACAUCACUACUUGUGCCAUUACCCAGAGCUUAUAAAACAAUUUGUACCACUCAUUCGCUUAUGGACGAUGCGGUUUGAGAGCAAACAUACCUAUUUUAAACAAUGUGCUAGAAAAUUGCACAACUUCAAAAAUGUAUGUGCAACACUUGCAGAAAGGCACCAGCUUCUCCAAGCCUAUUUAAGUGCUGGAAACCUCUUUCAGCCUUCUGUGCAAGUUGAAAAAGGCUCUGAAUUUUAUUCAUGUGAUUUUAACGAAGCGAUCAGGGAAUCAGUUGAUCAUUUUGAUUUUCAGCCAGGCAAUACAUUAGUAGCUACUGAAAUCACUUUGAAAGGAACAAAGUACAGGAAAGGCAUGGCUGUUCUUUUGGCCAGUAAUGAUGAGGGUUUGGAGGUUGGCAGAAUUAAACUAAUUCUUGUUCACAAGAAUGCUGUGGUUUACUUUGUGUCUGAGAAACGGUGUGCUGUGCGGUUGGUGGAUUUGGGUGUAUACUGCAUGACAGAUGAGGACCCAAGACAUGUCUGUGUACUUCAAGAGGAUCUAUUAGAUUAUUACCCUCUCCAGGAGUAUAACACAUGUGGCGUGUCUGUGAUUGUGUUACACCACUCUUUUCCAUCUUUUUAAGGUAUGUCUAAUUUAGAGGAAAUAAGACUUACCAUCUCCUCUUCGUUACCUGGUAUCUCUGAUGAAACGCUUCAAAAAUGUAUCCAUGGUCUUUCUGCUAUUGGUGUUGAGACAAAAGAUGACCUCCAGUAUGUCAAAGAAGACGACCUCAUGGAAUUCCUCAGGCCAAUACAAUGCCGCAAACUACUGAAUGCAUGGAAAAAUGAAGAACAAUCCAGCUCCUCGACACCCCAACGUUCAUCGUGUCAAGUUCUUUCGGAUAUAUCAAGCCCAGGAUCAGAGAGUUCAAGCUCUACACCAUCUUGUUCUACUGCUUGCUUUUCAGCUUCUUGCGCCUGGGCUGAAACCUUUAAGGUGCCUUGGGAAGUCAUGCCUUCCGAAAUUAAACUGGCCAUUGCAAAUAAAAAAAUACCAUCACCAGCUGAUCGAAGGAAGCUAGUAAGAAUGUUAGUGGAUAACAUGCAAAAACAUGAAGUAAACCCAACAAAGGCACAGUGUCAGAUCGUAGUGCAGAAUAUUGUUAAGCAGUACCCGGACAGCUUUGCUGAUGUUCUGUCUGAUGGAACAAAAAUAGGUAGUGGGUAUGCCUCUUUGCUCUUGCAAGUCAAAACCCGUGUGGAACAUGUAAACAGAAACAACACGUUAGCUCGUCGGAGAAAAGAACGACUACGAUCAUCGUGUAAAACCAUAUGUCAGAGCUCACGAAGACUGGCUGAUCAAUAUGGUUGUGUCAGUUGGCAGCCUGAGGAGUUUCCUGCAGGAGAAAAUGAUGACACUCUAGAAGAGAAGCGCAAGCAAAUGGUGCUGCUUCAUUCUACUGAAGGAAUGUCUGGAGCCAAUAGAGGAGAACUUCACAAGUUGAUGGAGGUCACAUAUUACCGUCAGCGCCGUGAUAUAAACGCCACUCCACCACUUUCUGAACUAAAGAACUCAUGGCCUUACCUGUUUAGUCUGAAGGGGAUCUUUUUACAUUUCCAAUUGCUUACUGACAUCUCACUGCUUCAAAAAAUCAUGGAGAGCAUUGAAGGGAAAGGAAAGAGGAUUCUAAGAUUUUUUCAAGAAAAGCCAACAAACAAAGAGGUGUGUGCUGUUCUGUCAAAGUAUCAAGAGGGAAAUUCUCUGGUCCUGUGCAUCUUGAAACUCUUAAUGGCCCAUUUCAAAGAGAGAACAGAAUCACUUCUAAUUGAAGCUGAUGCAGCAGCAACUGCAGCCGAGAUGGAAAGAGAGGGAUUACCGGAUUCACCCGCACUGAUCAUCCAAGGUGAAUCCAUGACCCCAAGCAAGUGGAUGUUGUCCGUCGAGAGGGAAGUUGUCCUGGGCCCGUUUUCAGAGGCAUUUGUUGAGGGCCUGGCAGCAUUGUUUGCGACCUAUUACAACUUAAAUCUUGCUUAUCAGGAUGACGCUGCAUGCACGCUGGAAUUUAUUCAGAGAGGACUUGUGGGCAUCAACCCGGAAGCUGGAUCAAAAGUUGCUGCUGGAAAGCGAGACAAGAAAAUGCAUGGAAUGAACCCACAUGUAUGCACACUGUUGCGUAAACUAAUGGACUUUGAAUGGCUUGUCAUUUAAAGUAUUCCCAUAGAAUUGAUACCAGAGACUGACCCAUUUUGCAAGUUCAUAUUCUUGCCUUUAAGGUAGGCAUUCAGACCAUUUCUUUUAGUUUAUGACUUAAGAACGAUUACUUUAGGAAUGUGUGCACUGCAUAGUUAAUAUAUGUGCUGCUGUUCUCCGAGGGUUUUUCUGAGGCUAAAGCCUUACUUUUUUUUUUUUUUUUUUUUUUUCAUUGUUUCUCCGAAUACAUUAUGGAAUCAGGUUAUGUUAAAUAGCCAUUAUUGCACAAUACAUUUGUUAUAUUAACGGACCAAGGCUAAGGCCUUGAAUUUAAUGUGCAAUCUCUUUUAUUCUUUUUCUUUUUUUUUACCAAAUACAUUUUGGAAUCUGGUUAUGUUAAAUAGCCAUUACAAUAAAUGUAUGUUAAUGAACCUGUUAUUGUGAGUUUUAUUUGACAAAUGCUUUAACUUACAGCAAACAAAUAGUGAAUUGAAUCCACAUCAAAUGCUUUAAUUUACUGUGAAAUGUAUAGUAGUACAUGUCAGUUCAUUGUUGCUCUUGUAAUUGCACUUGCAUUCAUAAACAUUAUUUCGACUUUAAUUUUAGUAACCGCUGUAAAAAAUGUACAGCAUAUAUACAUGUAUAUAAGGCAGUGUGCUGUGUUUUUUACAGUACAAUUGUAAUUAAUGAUUUACAGUACUCUUGGAAAUUUGCCAGUUGCCAGUAAGUUACUGUAAUUUGUACAGUAAAUUUGUAGUUAAUGAUUUACAGUACUCUUGGAAAUUGUACAGUCUUACUGGCAACCAAAAAUGCCAGUAAGUUACUGUAAAUUGUACAGUAAAUUUUUUACAGUGUAGGCAUAAAUCUGGCACUAAAGGACAUUACAGAUAUAUUCCACCAAUCAGCAUCCAUGUGCAAUUUGAAAAAAUCAUUAAAAAGAAAACCAAAAAACACCAAUGAGAAGUGGUUUGACGAAGAGUGUAAAAGAAUUAGAAUGACAGUACGAAAUCUUUCAAAUCAAAAACACAGAGAUCCUGACAAUGAAGAACUCCGCCAUCAGUAUCACGAAGCCCUUAGACUGUACAAACAAACUCUAAGAGUAAAAAAGGAAGAGCACACGGAACAAUUAUUUCAAGCAAUGGAGGAAUCAAUAAAUACCAAUAACUUCUGGAACAACUGGAACACUCUCUAUAGAGCACAAAAAGAAGAAUUGGCCAUUCAAAACGGGAACAUAUGGAGGACACACUUUGAAAAUCUGUACAAAACAACUGAAACAAAUCCUGCUCGAAAUGAAUUAAAAACCAAAUUAGAAAUCCUGAAAGAAAAGAUUAAAGACAAUCAGAACCCUCUGGACUUUCCAAUCACAGUAAAUGAGCUUACCGAUAGACUACAUGUGCUAAAACCCAACAAGGCAUGUGGCAUCGACGGAAUAUUAAACGAAAUGAUAAAAUACACCAAUGACCAAUUCAAAGAGGCAAUAAUCAAAUUAUUCAACCUUGUUUUGAGAGUAGGAUUUUUCCCCGACACCUGGAACCAAGGCUUAAUUACACCAAUAUUUAAACAAGCAGACAAAUAUGAGCCAAACAAUUACAGAGGCAUGUGUGUCAAUAGCAACCUGGGGAAAAUAUUCUGUUCGAUUAUCAAUAUGAGAUUGCAAAACUUUCUCAAAACCCACAAAAUCCUGGACAAAAGUCAAAUUGGAUUUCUGCCCAAACACAGAACAUCGGACCACAUAUACACCCUCCACACUAUCAUUGAUCGACAUGUAUACUAAAAUAAAUCCAAAAUCUUUGCUUGCUUUAUUGACUUUGAGAAGGCUUUCGACUCUAUCUGGCAUGAAGGACUCUUUUAAAACUCCUGGAGAAUGGAAUUGGAGGGAAAACAUUUGAUUUGAUAAGCUCCAUGUAUAAAAACAAUACAUGUGCUGUAAAAAUAGGAAAUAAACUAACAGAAUUUUUCUCCGAACAACGAGGAGUCAGACAAGGUUGCCCAUUGAGCCCCACUCUAUUUAACAUAUAUAUCAACGAAUUAGCCAAAGCCUUAAAUAAUUCGACUGCCCCCGGCCCAACCCUGACGCAAUCAGAAGUUAAAUGUCUCCUCUUUGCAGAUGAUUUAGUGAUUCUGUCAAAAACAAAAGAGGGACUACAGCAGCUCCUCGAUAUCGUACAGACAUUCAGUCAAAACGUGGGCUCUCAAAAUUAACCUCGCAAAAACUAAAAUAAUGAUUUUUCAAAACAGAUCCAGAUGUAGGGAAAAUAAAUACAUCUUUCGAGCAGGAAACCAAGUCCUCCAACACACCCAUGAAUACACCUAUCUGGGACUAAAACUGAGUUCUACAGGGAACUUUAAUCUGGCUGUGAAUGAACUGAAGGCAAAAGCACUGAGAGUCUUCUACAUGAUUAAAAACACUAUUCGACAUGAAAUUCCAAUUCAAACCUGGCUAAAAAUCCUAAAAUCAAUAAUUGAACCAAUUGCUCUGUAUGGCAGCGAGAUAUGGGGACCUCUAAAAACCCAAGAUUUUUCAAAAUGGGAAAAAGAAGAAAUCGAAACUCUGCAUACACAAAUUUGUAAAAAUAUCCUAAAAGUAAACAGAUCAACGCCAAACAACUCGUGCAGAGCUGAAUUAGGACAAUACCCCUUAUUGAUCAAUAUCCAAAAGAGAGCGGUGAAGUUCUACCAGCACCUGAAGCGCAGCGAGCCGAGCUCAUACCAGGCUGAAGCCCUGCGGUGUCAGGAGCAGAACCUGCAGAGGAGCACUCUCUCACAGCUGAUGCUCAAACUACAGCCAGACCAGCACAGCACCAUUCGGCCAAACCAAAUUAUCCAGUUACAAAAACAGAAUUACAUCACCUACUGGAAACAUGCUACUAAAUCACAGAAGAAGAUGGAGCUGUGUUUAGACCUGAAGAAAGAUUAUAAACCAGCAGAAUACCUGAGCUGUGUAAAAGAUCCCAAAUUAAGAAAAACACUUACAAAAUACAGACUGAGCGAUCACUGUCUGGCUGUAGAGAGAGGACGACACAGACAGAGAUGGCAGCCGAGAGAGCAGAGACUGUGUUUACUGUGCUCUCAGAGAGAGCUGGAGACAGAGGAACACU